CUGGGAACUGAGCUCUGGUCCUCGGAACAGUAGCAAGUGCUCUGAACUGUGGAAAGUUUAUUGGAGGAAGACUGCGGUCCUUCGUUUCCUUGUUGGAACCCAUGAGUUGUUGAGAUCAUCAGGGAACAAUACUUUCAUCCACUGAGACAGCUGCCAGAUGUUGAUGGCAAAGAGCAAACAAGAGAACAAGGAUACAAAAGAUAUGAUAGCUUUCCAAUCUUAUGGGGCAAGAAGCCAAUUAACUCUGAGAAAUUCCUAAGGGAGUCAUCAUAUCAUAUAAAACUAGUUCUGCUGGAUCCAUGAAAAUGAAAAACCAAGGCCCCAAAGGCCAUCAUUGCACUCAGGCCAUACUAUGCUUGUGACAUACUGAGUAGUAUGCACAUUGCACACACUUCAGAGUUUGGAAGGAGACAUCACCAUGAUGUGUGGCAAGCCUGGUGUGCCAUGAAAAAUAAAAGACCCAGAGAUAGAUUUUGGGGUUCUAACUUCAAGCUGAAGAUCAGAGAUUCAAAGCCACCAAGCCAGUAGAUCUUACCUCUAUCCAGCAGAAAUGGCAAUCCUGUGUCCACAAAUCCUCAGAGGCAAAAGGCUCUCAGAUCCUGAGACCGAGGAAUUACAUGGAGACCCAAAUUUAGCAUUGCAUUUUCAGGUUAAAAAAGGAACAGUCUAGGUCUCAAGACAACCACCUUAAAUAUAUCCAGAAACCUUACAGGAAGCACCAAAUGAAAGAAGUUCUAUAAGAGCUACUUGGUGUUAGAUUUAGGGAAAUUCAAGGAAGCUGUAGUCUCAUAUGGCAUCCUUUUAC
RNAcentral lists this long non-coding RNA (805 nucleotides) under Cricetulus griseus (Chinese hamster). RNAcentral describes it as "lncRNA (ENSCGRG00015037400.1)". Lineage: Eukaryota; Metazoa; Chordata; Mammalia; Rodentia; Cricetidae. The record is from RNAcentral.